Molecule: ribosomal RNA, 256 nt
Filed under: uncultured bacterium
Lineage: Bacteria
Description: partial 16S ribosomal RNA
Rfam family: Bacterial small subunit ribosomal RNA
Source: RNAcentral
UACAGAGGGUGCAAGCGUUGUUCGGAAUUAUUGGGCGUAAAGGGCGCGUAGGCGGUUCGGCAAGUCUCUAGUGAAAUCUCUGGGCUCAACUCAGAGUCUGCUGGGGGAAACUGCCGGGCUUGAGUGUGGGAGAGGAGAGUGGAAUUCCCGGUGUAGCGGUGAAAUGCGUAGAGAUCGGGGAGGAACACCCAGUGGCGAAGGCGGCCUUCUGGACCAGCACUGACACUCAAGCACGAAAGCGUGGGGAGCAAACAGG